AUGGAUGUAGCAAAAAACUUCACCCGUAGUAGCGAAAGUAAACUACGGUUGCAGCAAAAAUCAAACACCGUCGCCGUCUUUCGCGAGGUCGCGACUCCGCCUUACAUGGAUGUAGCAAAAAGCUUCACCGAUAGAAGCAAAAAUCUACUAUGGUUGCAGCAAAAAUCAAACACCGUCGCCGUCUUUCGCGAGGUCGCGACUCCGCCUUACGUGGAUGUAGCAAAAAGCUUCACCGAUAGAAGCAAAAAAUCUACUAUGGUUGCAGCAAAAAUCAAACACCGUCCCCGUCUUUCGCGAGGUCGCGACUCCGCCUUACAUGGAUGUAGCAAAAAGCUUCACCGAUAG
RNAcentral lists this ribosomal RNA (345 nucleotides) under Triticum aestivum (bread wheat). Its description in RNAcentral is "partial small subunit ribosomal RNA". The record is from RNAcentral. Lineage: Eukaryota; Viridiplantae; Streptophyta; Magnoliopsida; Poales; Poaceae.